CAGGCGUUGUGGAUUCAAAGUCAAAUGAAGUUCGAAGGUUUGAACUACUAAGGAGUGAGCUAAUGGAACUCGAGAAGCGGGUUCAAAGAAGUGCUGAUCAAUAUGAAUAUGAUGAGGUGUUUUCUAACUGCUGUAGACAGCCUUUUUAUUUCUGCUUUCUUUUGUCUCUUUCAUAUUGUGAAGUUUGUUAAUGUCUAUUGGGGCUCCACUCUUUCAUCUUCAGCAUAAACUUAUAGGCUAGUAUCAUGACGGCUGACUGAUUAAUGAUGAUACAUAAGUAUUCCUGUUAAUUGACGUAUACCUGUCCACUUUAUUCUUCUUGUUGAACAUGGCUUAUCUUGCUUGUGAAAGCAGUAAAGUAUUUUCAUUAUAAAAUGGGUUUUUGGGUUUUUAUUCUUUAUUUUUCUGUCUGUUUGUAACUACUGUUGUGACAAUAUGUGAAUGGUGGAAUAAUUCUGAUCAUAUUAUUUUGCGCUAAAUAAUAUGAUGGCCUAUUUCGCCAGGCAUGGACCUUUUGUCAAUAUCAAUUUCCAUGAAAGAGAUAUAUUGCCCUUAUGUAAGAGGUUCAACUUCCAAUUCUUUUAUAAUUUGGAGAAUACUUCCAUGCUAAAUGCGUAUAAGAUGUAGGUGGAGUUUGGCACUAUCUAUUUUAUGCUUUAUGUAAAAUCUUAUUGUUUUGUGCUCAUUUUUUGUUAGAGUUCCACACUCGUCAAGUGUAUUGGUUGCUCUUUCCUUAUAGUCUUGAACAUUUCUCACCUCAUGAGUUAGGUUCCGGCCUUCCGGGUUGAUCUAGUCUCUGUGUUCAUUUUUAUAUGGUUUCAAAGCGGAGCCCAUCUCUGAUUUUCUAGUUGUUGAUUAGUGUAAUUAUAAGAAGAUUUGAUUAGAUUAGAUUUUAUUCUCUAGCUUAAUUAUAGGCUGAUUUUAUUCUGUAGCUUAAUUGUAGCAAUUGCUGAUUUCCUUUCCUUGUUUAGCCAUAAGAUACAUUGUAUAAGUAUCACUACUUUGAUGUGAAUAAUAUACAUAAAAUACAAGAAGUUCUAUUCUUCUUCUUGAAAUCUUCAUAGUAUCAGAGCCAAGCCCAUCCCAAUUAUUGUUACCGAUGUUGGGCUCCCAUUUAUGUUGUCCACACUCCAGAGGCCUGAGCGUGAAGGGGAUGUUGAGUUGUCCCACAUCGGAGGCAUUUGAGGUCCUUGGUCUCCUUAUAUGGCUUGGGCAAUCC
Molecule: long non-coding RNA, 1219 nt
Filed under: Nicotiana benthamiana
Lineage: Eukaryota; Viridiplantae; Streptophyta; Magnoliopsida; Solanales; Solanaceae
Description: long non-coding RNA (NBEN_LNC003790)
Source: RNAcentral